GGGCGUAUAGCUCAGUUGGUUAGAGCGUUUCCUUGACAUGGAAAAGGUCUCCCGUUCGAGUCGGGAUAUGCCCA
This 74-nucleotide transfer RNA is filed under the name Candidatus Moraniibacteriota bacterium. Its description in RNAcentral is "Candidatus Moranbacteria bacterium (groundwater metagenome) tRNA-Val". It matches the Rfam family "tRNA". Rfam says of the family: Transfer RNA (tRNA) molecules are approximately 80 nucleotides in length. Their secondary structure includes four short double-helical elements and three loops (D, anti-codon, and T loops). The record is from RNAcentral. Lineage: Bacteria; Candidatus Moraniibacteriota.